RNAcentral lists this long non-coding RNA (244 nucleotides) under Ananas comosus (pineapple). RNAcentral's name for it is "long non-coding RNA (ACOM_LNC037931)". Lineage: Eukaryota; Viridiplantae; Streptophyta; Magnoliopsida; Poales; Bromeliaceae. The record is from RNAcentral.
UACCGAAGGUGAAAUUCUGAUUAAAGUAGACUUUCGGGUGAACUAGAGUUCGAUAAAAAAAAAAAAAAUACUGUUGUUUGUGUUGUUGUGGAACGGAAGUCUUUUUAGUUUUGCUGUUUGUUUGACAGAAAAUAAAUAAUAUAGAAAAUAAAGGUAUGAUAGAUAAAUUAUUAUUAUUAUUAUUAUUAUUUUUUCUUAAUUGGCUUAAGGUUAGGAUGGGUUGAAAGCAAUUAUGAUAUUUCGG